Molecule: RNA transcript, 1777 nt
Organism: Telopea speciosissima
Lineage: Eukaryota; Viridiplantae; Streptophyta; Magnoliopsida; Proteales; Proteaceae
Gene name: intermediate cleaving peptidase 55, mitochondrial
Exons: 15
Source: RefSeq, a predicted model, not a curated record
CAGAGGCAGAGGCAGAAGCAGAGGCAGAGCAGAGCAGGAGUAGAGAGAAAAGAAAGAAGAAGAGGAGAGAAAGGGCGGGAAGCAACGAUGCCGGGCCUGGGAAGACACUUACUAAAGAGAAUCUCAUUCAAACAGCGUAGUGGAUGCUGCGGAUAUUCUACCAGGAAGUUGGUCGAUGUGGGGCAGCCAACUGCUGCAUCUCACCCUCAGUUGGUAAAGGAAGGGGAGAUUACACCUGGCAUCACAGGUGAUGAGUACAUCUCAAGAAGGAAACAAUUGCUGGAGCUUCUUCCAGAGAAGAGUUUAGCCAUCAUUGCAGCUGCUCCUGUUAAAAUGAUGACUGAUGUUGUGCCUUAUUCAUUCAGACAGGAUGCCGAUUAUUUGUAUAUCACUGGUUGCCAGCAACCUGGUGGUGUAGCUGUCUUAGAUCAGGAAGUUGGAUUAUGCAUGUUUAUGCCAGAUUCAGAUCCUCAAGAUGUCAUUUGGCAAGGACAAAUUGCUGGAGUUGAUGCUGCUUUGAGCACAUUCAAGGCUGAGCAGGCAUUCCCAAUAAGUGAAAUGCAUAAGAUUCUUCCAACAAUGAUCAACAGAUCGUCCAAAUUGUUCCAUAAUGUGAAAACAGCUUCGCCAGCAUAUAUGGACUUGGAGGCCUUGCACAGUGCAGCUUUAAGUGGAAAAGUGAAAGAUCUUUCUGGUUAUACCCAUGACUUGAGGUGGAUGAAAUCACCAUCAGAAAUUAGGCUGAUGAGAGAAUCUGCUUCAAUAGCUUGCCAGGCUCUAUUACAGACUAUGAUCCAAUCAAAAACAUUAGCUGAUGAGGGCAUGCUUUCAGCUAAGGUUGAAUAUGAAUGCAGGAUGAGAGGUGCUCAAAGAAUGGCGUUCAAUCCAGUCGUUGGUGGUGGACUGAAUGGUAGUGUUAUACACUAUUCUCGAAAUGAUCAGAAAAUCAAAGAUGGUGACCUUGUUCUAAUGGAUGUUGGCUGUGAGUUGCAUGGUUAUGUCAGUGAUAUGACUCGUAGCUGGCCACCCUGUGGCAGUUUUUCAUCAGCUCAAGAAGAGCUAUAUGAUCUAAUUCUGGAGGUGAACAAGGAAUGUGUGAAGCUUUGCCAACCUGGUACGAGCAUUCGGCAGAUACAUAACCAUUCGGUUGAAAUGCUGCAAAGAGGACUUAAAGAAAUGGGAAUCUUGAAAGAUGGGCGAAGGGCCUCUCAAACUUACCAUCAGCUGAACCCAACUUCUAUAGGUCAUUAUUUAGGAAUGGAUGUUCAUGACUGUUCCAUGGUUAGCUAUGACCGUCCUUUGAAGCCAGGUGUUGUGAUAACGAUUGAACCAGGAGUUUAUAUCCCAUAUUCUUUUGAUGGUCCAGAGAGGUACCAAGGCAUUGGCAUAAGGAUAGAAGAUGAAGUCCUUGUUACUGAAACUGGGCAUGAGGUUCUUACAGGGUCAAUGCCCAAAGAGAUUCAACACAUUAAGUCCUUGCUAAAUGAUUAUUGCUGCAACAGAGGGAUUGAAGCCCAUAAUCAUAUAACAGCCGCAUCCAGUUGAAGAUCACAUGGUACUUCACAGUGGCAGGCCAGAUUAUUUUCGUUUUGCCUUUUUCCUUUUUAAGUUUCUCUUUGGUUUCAAAUCUAACAGAAAAGUAUGAUUUUACCAGGUUCUACAGACAUCUAUGCACUGAGUUGGAUACGGGAACUGCGGAUGUGCAGCAGAAACAGAAUUGAAAUUGAAAGGUGUUCAGGCGGGUCUUGGUCUGGCAGAACACCUUCGUUUCAAGAAA